This 365-nucleotide transfer-messenger RNA is filed under the name Myxococcales (fruiting gliding bacteria). Its description in RNAcentral is "40CM-4-68-19 sp005879805 Standard tmRNA". It matches the Rfam family "transfer-messenger RNA". Rfam says of the family: Bacterial tmRNA, also known as 10Sa RNA or SsrA, is named for its dual tRNA and mRNA-like properties. Its role is to liberate the mRNA from a stalled ribosome. To accomplish this part of the tmRNA is used as a reading frame that ends in a translation stop signal. RNAcentral also lists the same sequence under 2 other names. The record is from RNAcentral. Lineage: Bacteria; Pseudomonadati; Myxococcota; Myxococcia.
GGGGGCGAACCGGUUUCGACGAGGGCAACGAAGUCUGGAGCGCAUGCAGAGGGCGUCCAUCACCUCUUCAAAAGGUGGGCAACGUCACAAACGCCAACGACAACGUUGAGCUCGCGCUCGCCGCCUAAAACGGUCUGAACGCGCGGGACCCCGGAGCCCAGCCGAUGGCGCCGGCAAGUCCCGUCAAAAAAGUCGGCUGGUCCGGCGUGGCACCCCGACGGCGCCGGACGAGAUUCAUUCGGGGAGUGGUCCCGGGGCAGGGUGCCCGUGUUCGGCCCCGGGACGACAUAAAGCACGGGCUAAGCAUGUAGGGCGACCAGAUGGAGUGCUUUCGGACGCGGGUUCGAUUCCCGCCGCCUCCACCA